Molecule: ribosomal RNA, 246 nt
Filed under: uncultured bacterium
Lineage: Bacteria
Description: partial 16S ribosomal RNA
Rfam family: Bacterial small subunit ribosomal RNA
Source: RNAcentral
CGUAGGUCCCGAGCGUUAUCCGGAUUUAUUGGGCGUAAAGCGAGCGCAGGCGGUUGGAUAAGUCUGAAGUUAAAGGCUGUGGCUUAACCAUAGUAUGCUUUGGAAACUGUUCAACUUGAGUGCAGAAGGGGAGAGUGGAAUUCCAUGUGUAGCGGUGGAAUGCGUAGAUAUAUGGAGGAACACCGGUGGCGAAAGCGGCUCUCUGGUCUGUAACUGACGCUGAGGCUCGAAAGCGUGGGUAGCGAA